RNAcentral lists this transfer RNA (72 nucleotides) under Myxococcota bacterium. RNAcentral's name for it is "tRNA-Thr". It matches the Rfam family "tRNA". From Rfam's summary of the family: Transfer RNA (tRNA) molecules are approximately 80 nucleotides in length. Their secondary structure includes four short double-helical elements and three loops (D, anti-codon, and T loops). The record is from RNAcentral. Lineage: Bacteria; Pseudomonadati; Myxococcota.
GCCAUCGUAGCUCAGGGGUAGAGCACCUCCUUGGUAAGGAGGGGGUCGGCAGUUCGAUUCUGCUCGAUGGCU